UAUUGGGAUCCGACUAAGCCAUGCGAGUCGAGAGGGUUCGGCCCUCGGCGAACUGCUCAGUAACACGUGGAUAAUCUGCCCUUAGGUGGAGGAUAACCUCGGGAAACUGAGAAUAAUACUCCAUAGAUCUUUGAGGCUGGAAUGCGCUAAGAUUGAAAGCUUCGGCGCCUAAGGAUGAGUCUGCGGACUAUCAGGUUGUAGUCAGGGUAAAGACCCGACUAGCCUACGACGGAUACGGGUUGUGAGAGCAAUAACCCGGAGAUGAUAUCUGAGACACGAUAUCAGGCCCUACGGGGCGCAGCAGGCGCGAAAACUUCACAAUGCGCGAAAGCGCGAUGAGGGAAUCCCAAGUGCUUGCACGUAAGUGUAAGCUGUUUUUCUGUUUAAAAAGCAGAGAGAGUAAGAGCUGGGUAAGACGGGUGCCAGCCGCCGCGGUAAUACCUGCAGCUCAAGUGGUGGCCGCUAUUAUUGGGCCUAAAACGUCCGUAGCCGGCUAAGUAAAUGCCUGGGUAAAUCGUGCCGCUUAACGGUACGAAUUCCGGGUAGACUGCUUAGCUUGGGACCGGAAGAAGUUAGAGGUACUCCUGGGGUAGGGGUGAAAUCCUGUAAUCCUGGGGGGACCACCAGUGGCGAAGGCGUCUAGCUAGGACGGGUCUGACGGUGAGGGACGAAGCCCGGGGGCGCAACCGGAUUA
Molecule: ribosomal RNA, 694 nt
Filed under: uncultured archaeon
Lineage: Archaea
Description: bacterial SSU rRNA
Rfam family: Archaeal small subunit ribosomal RNA
Source: RNAcentral